AAUUGAAAAAGGCAAACUAUUCGAAAGGGUAGGACGCAAAGCCUAGGGACUAAGGUUUUGGAGGAACAAUUCAAAAUGAUGUCAGCCUGGUUACCAAC
RNAcentral lists this non-coding RNA (98 nucleotides) under Halalkalibacter krulwichiae. Its description in RNAcentral is "Bacillus krulwichiae c-di-GMP sequence". It matches the Rfam family "c-di-GMP-I riboswitch aptamer". Rfam says of the family: GEMM was predicted in a large-scale screen for bacterial structured RNA regulatory elements. The record is from Rfam by way of RNAcentral. Lineage: Bacteria; Bacillati; Bacillota; Bacilli; Caryophanales; Bacillaceae.